GUUUGAGAGUAGGGUAGAAGAAGGAGGAGAUAGAGAAACAAGGCAGAGAAGCACAUUUUAAAAAACAGACAGGAUGGCUAGGCCAUCACCAACCGACUUACCUUCCAUCUCUGUGGGUAGUUGCCCCAAAUCUUGAUAUUUUUUCCUCCCAAUUCCCCUUUAAAAAAAAAAAACACACACAUUGCAAAUCCAAGGGCACAAAACACCACCCCCUCCCACUUCCCUGAAGCCUCAAAUUUCCUCCCAUCUAUUUGAGGUUUACUCAGCACUCCCUGCAUUUCCAGCCCCAUAUUUUUCUGCUCUAGGACAUU
Molecule: non-coding RNA, 311 nt
Organism: Ceratotherium simum simum (southern white rhinoceros)
Lineage: Eukaryota; Metazoa; Chordata; Mammalia; Perissodactyla; Rhinocerotidae
Source: RefSeq, a predicted model, not a curated record